GAGAGAGAGAGUGCAAAAGAGCACAAGCAGGGGGAGAAGAAGAGGAAGAGGGAGAAGCAGGCUCCCAGGAUCCCAGCAGGCUUGAUCUCAGGACCCCGGGAUCAUGAUGUGAGCUGAAGAUAGACCCUUAACCAACUGAGCCACCCAGGCACCCUGACCCACCCAUCUUGUUACAAUGGCUUUGUGCCCUCAAUGUCAUGUUGGUUCAUGCCUGGGAAGACCAUAGUGAAGUCAAAAAAGGGUCGGCGAUCCGCGGGCGCCUGAGUGCGGCGGCGGCAGCUGCUCCCAGGAGGCGAAGGCAAAGAAACUGA
This 311-nucleotide long non-coding RNA is filed under the name Mustela putorius furo (domestic ferret). RNAcentral's name for it is "lncRNA (ENSMPUG00000025030.1)". The record is from RNAcentral. Lineage: Eukaryota; Metazoa; Chordata; Mammalia; Carnivora; Mustelidae.